GUGCUGUGACGUUGUUACAACGUUUUAUGAUGGUAAUAAAUUACGUCACAAAUUACGUUGUGCCAACGUUGUGUGGAUGGUUGUCAGCACGUGCCUUGGAGUUCACAAAAUUACGUUGUACCAACGUAAUUUUACUACGUUGUCACAACGAUAGUAUUACGUUGUCACAACGUAAUGUCAACGUUGGAUUGUUUACUGGGCAG
RNAcentral lists this long non-coding RNA (203 nucleotides) under Mytilus galloprovincialis (Mediterranean mussel). Lineage: Eukaryota; Metazoa; Mollusca; Bivalvia; Mytilida; Mytilidae. The record is from RNAcentral.